RNAcentral lists this ribosomal RNA (1344 nucleotides) under uncultured bacterium. RNAcentral's name for it is "16S ribosomal RNA". It matches the Rfam family "Bacterial small subunit ribosomal RNA", at positions 28 to 1378 of the family's 1533-position model. The record is from RNAcentral.
GACGAACGCUGGCGGCGUGCUUAACAUAUGCAAGUCGAACGGAAAGGCCCUGCUUUUGUGGGGUGCUCGAGUGGCGAACGGGUGAGUAACACGUGAGUAACCUGCCCUUGACUUUGGGAUAACUUCAGGAAACUGGGGCUAAUACCGGAUAGGAGCUCCUGCCGCAUGGUGGGGGUUGGAAAGUUUCGGCGGUUGGGGAUGGACUCGCGGCUUAUCAGCUUGUUGGUGGGGUAGUGGCUUACCAAGGCUUUGACUGGUAGCCGGCCUGAGAGGGUGACCGGCCACAUUGGGACUGAGAUACCGCCCAGACUCCUACGGGAGGCAGCAGUGGGGAAUAUUGCACAAUGGGCGGAAGCCUGAUGCAGCAACGCCGCGUGCGGGAUGACGGCCUUCGGGUUGUAAACCGCUUUCGCCUGUGACGUAGCGUGAGUGACGGUAAUGGGUAAAGAAGCACCGGCUAACUACGUGCCAGCAGCCGCGGUGAUACGUAGGGUGCGAGCGUUGUCCGGAUUUAUUGGGCGUAAAGGGCUCGUAGGUGGUUGAUCGCGUCGGAAGUGUAAUCUUGGGGCUUAACCCUGAGCGUGCUUUCGAUACGGGUUGACUUGAGGAAGGUAGGGGAGAAUGGAAUUCCUGGUGGAGCGGUGGAAAGCGCAGAUAUCAGGAGGAACACCAGUGGCGAAGACGGUUCUCUGGGCCUUUCCUGACGUUGAGGAGCGAAAGCGUGGGGAGCGAACAGGCUUAAGAUACCCUGGUAGUCCACGCUGUAAACGGUGGGUACUAGGUGUGGGGUCCAUUCCACGGGUUCCGUGCCGUAGCUAACGCUUUAAGUACCCCGCCUGGGGAGUACGGCCGCAAGGCUAAAACUCAAAGGAAUUGACGGGGCCCCGCACAAGCGGCGGAGCAUGCGGAUUAAUUCGAUGCAACGCGUAGAACCUUACCUGGGUUUGACAUGGAUCGGGAGUGCUCAGAGAUGGGUGUGCCUCUUUUGGGGUCGGUUCACAGGUGGUGCAUGGCUGUCGUCAGCUCGUGUCGUGAGAUGUUGGGUUAAGUCCCGCAACGAGCGCAACCCUUGUUCACUGUUGCCAGCACGUUAUGGUGGGGACUCAGUGGAGACCGCCGGGGUCAACUCGGAGGAAGGUGGGGAUGACGUCAAGUCAUCAUGCCCCUUAUGUCCAGGGCUUCACGCAUGCUACAAUGGCUGGUACAGAGAGUGGCGAGCCUGUGAGGGUGAGCGAAUCUCGGAAAGCCGGUCUCAGUUCGGAUUGGGGUCUGCAACUCGACCUCAUGAAGUCGGAGUCGCUAGUAAUCGCAGAUCAGCAACGCUGCGGUGAAUACGUUCCCGGG